GGCAGCAUGGCUGAGUGGUCUAAGACGCUGGAUUAAGGUUCCAGUCUCUUCGGGGGCAUGGGUUCAAAUCCUACUGCUGCCA
Tachyglossus aculeatus (Australian echidna) is the source of this 82-nucleotide non-coding RNA. NCBI's taxonomy places the organism in Eukaryota, Metazoa, Chordata, Mammalia, Monotremata, Tachyglossidae. The record is from the annotation of a RefSeq genome assembly.